AACGAACGCUGGCGGCAUGCCUAACACAUGCAAGUCGAACGAGACCUUCGGGUCUAGUGGCGCACGGGUGCGUACCGCGUGGGAACCUGCCCUUAGGUUCGGAAUAACUCCCCGAAAGGGGUGCUAAUACCGGAUAAUGUCUUCGGACCAAAGAUUUAUCGCCUUUGGAUGGGCCCGCGUUGGAUUAGCUAGUUGGUAGGGUAAAAGCCUACCAAGGCGACGAUCCAUAGCUGGUCUGAGAGGAUGAUCAGCCACACUGGGACUGAGACACGGCCCAGACUCCUACGGGAGGGAGCAGUGGGGAAUAUUAGACAAUGAGCGAAAGCCUGAUCCAGCAAUGCCGCGGGAGUGAUGAAGGCCUUAGGGUUGUAAAGCUCUUUUACCCGGGAUGAUAAUGACAGUACCGGGAGAAUAAGCUCCGGCUAACUCCGUG
Molecule: ribosomal RNA, 433 nt
Filed under: uncultured bacterium
Lineage: Bacteria
Description: partial 16S ribosomal RNA
Rfam family: Bacterial small subunit ribosomal RNA
Source: RNAcentral